GGGGGUGUCGGUGAUCGGCAUAUUGGGCGUAAGGGCUCGCAGGCGGUUUCUUAAGUCUGAUGUGAAAGCCCCCGGCUCAACCGGGGAGGGUCAUUGGAAACUGGGAAACUUGAGUGCAGAAGAGGAGAGUGGAAUUCCACGUGUAGCGGUGAAAUGCGUAGAGAUGUGGAGGAACACCAGUGGCGAAGGCGACUCUCUGGUCUGUAACUGACGCUGAGGAGCGAAAGCGUGGGGAGCGAACAGGAUUAGAUACCCUGGUAGUCCACGCCGUAAACGAUGAGUGCUAAGUGUUAGGGGGUUUCCGCCCCUUAGUGCUGCAGCUAACGCAUUAAGCACUCCGCCUGGGGAGUACGGUCGCAAGACUGAAACUCAAAGGAAUUGACGGGGGCCCGCACAAGCGGUGGAGCAUGUGGUUUAAUUCGAAGCAACGCGAAGAACCUUACCAGGUCUUGACAUCCUCUGACAACCCUAGAGAUAGGGCUUUCCCUUCGGGGACAGAGUGACAGGUGGUGCAUGGUUGUCGUCAGCUCGUGUCGUGAGAUGUUGGGUUAAGUCCCGCAACGAGCGCAACCCUUGAUCUUAGUUGCCAGCAUUCAGUUGGGCACUCUAAGGUGACUGCCGGUGACAAACCGGAGGAAGGUGGGGAUGACGUCAAAUCAUCAUGCCCCUUAUGACCUGGGCUACACACGUGCUACAAUGGACAGAACAAAGGGCUGCAAGACCGCAAGGUUUAGCCAAUCCCAUAAAUCUGUUCUCAGUUCGGAUCGCAGUCUGCAACUCGACUGCGUGAAGCUGGAAUCGCUAGUAAUCGCGGAUCACAUGCGCGGGGGGAAAAAUCCUUUCCCGGGGCCUUGUACACACCGCCCGUCACACCACCGAGAGUUUGCAACACCCGAAGUCCGGUGAGGUAACCUUUAUGGAGCCAGCCGCCGAAGGUGGGGCAGAUGAUGGGUGAUAGAAAAAGACCCCGGGGGGGGCGCGCGCGAGAAAAAGGGGGGCGAAA
This 1003-nucleotide ribosomal RNA is filed under the name Bacillus pumilus. Its description in RNAcentral is "bacterial SSU rRNA". It matches the Rfam family "Bacterial small subunit ribosomal RNA", at positions 531 to 1533 of the family's 1533-position model. Lineage: Bacteria; Bacillati; Bacillota; Bacilli; Caryophanales; Bacillaceae. The record is from RNAcentral.